GAUGAACGCUGGCGGCGUGCCUAAUACAUGCAAGUCGAGCGAAUGGAUUAAGAGCUUGCUCUUAUGAAGUUAGCGGCGGACGGGUGAGUAACACGUGGGUAACCUGCCCAUAAGACUGGGAUAACUCCGGGAAACCGGGGCUAAUACCGGAUAACAUUUUGAACCGCAUGGUUCGAAAUUGAAAGGCGGCUCCGGCUGUCACUUAUGGAUGGACCCGCGUCGCAUUAGCUAGUUGGUGAGGUAACGGCUCACCAAGGCAACGAUGCGUAGCCGACCUGAGAGGGUGAUCGGCCACACUGGGACUGAGACACGGCCCAGACUCCGACGGGAGGCAGCAGUAGGGAAUCUUCCGCAAUGGACGAAAGUCUGACGGAGCAACGCCGCGUGAGUGAUGAAGGCUUUCGGGUCGUAAAACUCUGUUGUUAGGGAAGAACAAGUGCUAGUUGAAUAAGCUGGCACCUUGACGGUACCUAACCAGAAAGCCACGGCUAACUACGUGCCAACCGCCGCAGUAA
This 515-nucleotide ribosomal RNA is filed under the name uncultured bacterium. RNAcentral describes it as "partial 16S ribosomal RNA". It matches the Rfam family "Bacterial small subunit ribosomal RNA", at positions 28 to 523 of the family's 1533-position model. The record is from RNAcentral.